GGCACAGUUAAGUAGACACGGUGAUCACAAUAGGAAACAGGUGUGUAGACAGGGAGGAGCAGACGAAGGCGGGGCAGACACGUGACGAAGAACGUAAACAGAUGCACGUGGCCAAAGUCCGAGCUCAGUCAUGACAGAUGUACGGAAAGUAAUUGUGUUAAUGUUACACAAUUCAAUCAAAUAGAACCGACAAACACGUUUGAAUGAAGUAAAUUCAACAAGCUGGUCUAAUACUAGUGAGUUAGAUCUGAUAGAUCUCAUGAGUGGUGGUGUUUGGUUUUAUCCCUUGUAAGUAAUGCAAUAAAUCUGCUGGAUACUGUAGGGUUAUUAAGUGCACGCUCGGUGUAUUGAUAUAAACCUGUUAUAGAAAAUAAUCCAACAGCUUCUAACCAAUCAGAAUGGAGAAUUUUACAGCACUGUGGUGUAAGAGGAUAUUAAGGUUGAAGCAAUGAUGGUCUAGAUAGAGAAUUGUUUAGUUUGUGCAGUUUUUACUCAAACUAACCAGAGAAUGAACAUAACAAACCAAAUAAUGAACUUAAAUACAAUUAUUACGUAUUUACGUAUUGACUACGACUGAAUUGUAUUUAGGUCUCAUAAUUAACAUGGGAAAACGUUUCCUGUCUUUUAGACAUCCUCUCUCCAUAGCUGAGAAUCUGUGUGAUCGUCAAAAAGCAAAAUAUAUAAGUUGAGAAAGGACUCUUUCUAAAAAAAAAUGUUUAAAAAAACUAAAAGGUGUCUAAACAGCGUAUGAAACAGAUGCUCUUGGAUUUUUUUAUGCGCCGCAUGCCUGUGUUUGAGAAGCAGCUCAUGUCUCGCCGACGCUCUGCAACCUCCAGACGCUGCAGGACAGGGUGACGGAUGGCUCGUGCGAGCCAAUAGCUGCAGACAAAGGGGUGGGAACUACCUGCUCAGUCCACCCGUCUCCGCCACCCCUCCCCUCCCCUCCCCCCCACCAACAGAUCAUCAGACGCUGGUCUGUGUCUGAUUCAGCAACCAGCUCCAGCUCCAGCGUUCACCUCCAAACCCGAGUCCCUGAAAGACGGAUGCGCUGACGAUGACGACAACGGCGUCUCGUGAAUCGGUCGAAAAAUCCAGAGGACGAGCACGGCAGUGACAGCGGCAGACCAGACGAAGACUUCUGGCUCGGUAGACAGCUUCAGCAAUGGUGGAGGAAACGUGUGCUUACACGUGUGCUCGCUCACGUCUGCCUUCCUCCUGUUCCCUGAGACCCUAACUCGUGAGCUGUUUCUCCAAAAAAAAUCACGGGUCAGGGACUUGGGGCUCGGGUGGAGGGCUUCAGCGUCUCUCGCCCGCAAGCCGAAAGCAAGAUCCAGACGGAAGAUAUCGAUCAGAUAUUUAUCAGAUUUACCGCCUGCCUGUUAUGAGCAAUAAAGCUGUGAAAUGUCAGUAAUCGAUGAAUCUACAGCCUCUGCAAAUAAUGUCAGGAGUUCAACAAGCACUGAAUCUGAAUUCUAGUCAUAAUACUUUGGUUUAUUGAGAAGGCGAUCAAUUGAGCAUCUCUGCUUAGAGAUCAUAGGUUACGUAACCAGGGAUGGAUUUUGUGACUCUUUCACGAGCAAAGCUAAUGCAGCAUGAAGUGUGUUAAAAAAGCAUUUAUAGGAAUGUAAUUUGAAUGUAAUACAGAGGAUUCGACUGCCAGACAUUUGGUUAUUAAUGUGCUGAAAAGAACACAGGAGAGGAUUUAAUGCACCAAGAGUUUACAGGAACCCCAAAGAACUGAGAUGGGCUUAAUAAACACAGCCUGACCUCCAGCUUCUGCACUUCUAAUGGGCUUAAAGUGCCUUAAUCUAUCUAUCUAUCUAUCUAUCUAUCUAUCUAUCUAUCUAUCUAUCUAUCUAUCUAUCUAUCUAUCUAUCUAUCUAUCUAUCUAUCUAUCUAUCUAUCUAUCUACCUGUAUGUCAGACUGUAUAAAAGAUAUAUCUAUCUAUCAGUGCAUCUAGCCUGUCUGUCUGUCUGUCUGUCUGUCUGUGUAAAUAAGUGAUAUAUCUGUCUAUCUGCCAGCCUGCCUGUCCAUGUUAAAGCAUUCUGUCUGUCUCUCUAUGUAUAUCUAUACAAACCUAUGUCUGUCUGUCUGUUUAUCUAAAAAUUAAAUUAUUUUGUCUAUCUGUCCAUCCACCCAUCUCUCUGUCUGUCUCUCUAUGUCUGUUUACAGUAUAUAAUAUACUCUCUAUCAAAAUCUAUAAAAAUCUGUCCGUCUAUCCAUUCAUUCUGUCUGCCUAAAAUAUCUACAGGUAUUUGUCUGUCUGUCUAUAUAAAAGUUAAAUCUAUCUAUCUAUCUAUCUAUCUAUCUAUCUAUCUAUCUAUCUAUCUAUCUAUCUAUCUAUCUAUCUAUCUAUCUAUCUAUCUAUCUAUCUAUCUAUCUAUCUACAAUAUCAAUCUAUGUUAAUCAGUCUGUCUGAAAGUUAAAUCCAUCCAUUUGUAAUCUUUAAUCCACUGAAGGAUUACGUAACUCCUUUUGUAAAACAACUGGCACGUUUUUGUCUUUGCUUUCGUCUGACUGUCUUGUCCGAGUGUCUACAUGUCCUGUGUCUGUGUGGCUCUGGUUCUAAAGGAAAUAAUGACUUGUUUAUUAGAUUGCUCUCACCGUUCAUCAUAUCAGGUGAUUCAUUGUGGAUAAAACACACACUGACGUCUGUUUAUCUGUGUGAAUCAUCUCAUUAAAGUAGCACCAUGGCACCA
Molecule: long non-coding RNA, 2700 nt
Organism: Tachysurus fulvidraco (yellow catfish)
Lineage: Eukaryota; Metazoa; Chordata; Actinopteri; Siluriformes; Bagridae
Exons: 2
Source: RefSeq, a predicted model, not a curated record